This 100-nucleotide non-coding RNA is filed under the name Vibrio maritimus. RNAcentral describes it as "Guanine sequence". It matches the Rfam family "Purine riboswitch aptamer". Rfam says of the family: Riboswitches are metabolite binding domains within certain messenger RNAs that serve as precision sensors for their corresponding targets. Allosteric rearrangement of mRNA structure is mediated by ligand binding, and this results in modulation of gene expression. Lineage: Bacteria; Pseudomonadati; Pseudomonadota; Gammaproteobacteria; Vibrionales; Vibrionaceae. The record is from Rfam by way of RNAcentral.
UUGGUAAAGUCCCCGCAGCUUCGUAUAACCCCAAUAAUACGGUUUGGGGGUCUCUACCAGUUCCCGAAAAGUGCUGAUUACGAAGAGUUAGGAUGGCAUU